This 362-nucleotide ribosomal RNA is filed under the name uncultured archaeon. RNAcentral describes it as "bacterial SSU rRNA". It matches the Rfam family "Archaeal small subunit ribosomal RNA", at positions 1 to 359 of the family's 1478-position model. The record is from RNAcentral.
UUCGCCCUUUUCCGGUUGAUCCCGCCGGACCUGACUGCUAUCGGAUUGAUACUAAGCCAUGCGAGUCAUUGUAGCAAUACAAGGCAGACGGCUCAGUAACGCGUAGUCAACCUACCCUAUGGACGGGGAUAACCUCGGGAAACUGAGAAUAAUACCCGAUAGAACACUAUACCUGGAAUGGUUUGUGUUCCAAAUAAUUUAUUGCCGUAGGAUGGGACUGCGGCCUAUCAGUUUGUUGGUGAGGUAAUGGCCCACCAAGACUAUUACAGGUACGGGCUCUGAGAGGAGUGGCCCGGAGAUGGGUACUGAGACACGGACCCAGGCCCUAUGGGGCGCAGCAGGCGAGAAAACUUUGCAAUGUG